ACUCUAGGCAUUCCUGGCAGAGGAUACAGCAGGAGCAAAGGCCUGGAGGCUAAAAAUAGCUUGCGGGCAGGGGAGCUACCAGCAGUUCAGUGCUUCUGGAGUUUAAAGAGCCCGGCGAGGGUCAUGUCAGAUGACGCCGGUCCACGAGAAGGAGGGUGGAUUAUAUCCUUAGAGACGCCAUAGAGUGAGGAUAUAAUGGCUCUGUAACAAGCAUAAACUGUGAUGGUCUGGGAUGCCCUCGUCAUAGACAGCCCCUGGAGAGUCGUAAGUAGAGUGUGACAUAACCAGAUUUGUGCUUUAGAAAGGUUGCUGGUUGCAGAGCUGGUGGGAUGCGUUUUUAUUUGAAAAGGAUGGCAUGUAAUUAUCCCCUGCCUCAUAACAUAGGAAGUUAAGCUCUCCUUGUCCUGGAGGGAAGAGGAACCGAUACAGAAUUUCAGUGGCUCUGGACUCAAGGGCCACUAAGGUCAACUGUGAAAGGGUAAGAUUUGUUUUGGGGAGCGAGUAAACUGGCAUGGAGGAAUAAAGAAGGGCAAGAGAGAGGGGUGACUAGAGGAGCUCGCCUGCAUUCAGGGGGCUCUCAGAGGAGCCCUGGAAGCCUGGGUGUGGGCUUAGGAAGUCACUCAAGGAUGGAGAGGCAGUGGCGGAGCCAGCGGAGUCCCCCCACGAGGGCCUUGUUCAGGUGCGGAAGACAGCCUGUGGAUGCCUCCAGUUCUGCAAGAGCCUUCCCUGGCUGGCACCUGGGCUGAUGCAGCAGAUCCUCCUGUGGGUGCCGGAGGGUCUUCAGCCCUGAUGUUGAAGCAUCACAGAAGCUGCACUCUGGGACCUGAGACCAGGCCGGCUCUGUCUGAUGACUCAGUCAACAUUCAGGGCCUACAACCACUGACCUCCCACCAAGACACACACAAGGAACUCGCGCUCUGACCCAGGGGUACAGCUCACCCUUUCACGCGUGCAGGCCUGGGCUUCCAGAGGCUUCCCAGUGUGCCUGCCCGAGGUCACAUCUCCAGCAGGGGCAGCCCUGGGUUGGGAACACGGGCCUCUGAUUCCAAGCGAGCUCCUCCAUUCCUGGCGGCUUCAGGAGAGCUCCUGGGGGUGCUCCGAGGCUUGUUCUCCUCUUCUGUCUGGAUGAAUAAGAUUCUGGAGAAUCAAAGACAAGAGGCCUGCAAUUAAAUUCUAUUUUAAACAAGAAAUGAAGACACUGCUUAAAAUAAGUUCUGUGGAGAUAUGUGAAAUGUAAUGUUAAUGAAGGUAUUGGGUAUUUACUGAGAGCCAAAUACUGUUGUAAGCUUGUUACAAGGUCCUGUAUCCUCAAUCCUUAAAACAACUCCCUUACAUUGGCUCUGGAGAGGAAGCCAGAUGGCUGCUGGCUUUUUCCUUACAAAGCAACACCUCCAGACACCUGGUUUGUGGCUCGGGAUGCCAGAAAAUGGUGCUCCUUUUGCACAUUGGUAACUAUUUCCAUGUAGAAUACUUCUGGAAACUGGAGAUCAUCAACAGGUUCUGCAAACAAAGCCCAGAG
This 1519-nucleotide long non-coding RNA is filed under the name Homo sapiens (human). Its description in RNAcentral is "non-protein coding LINC01954:11". Lineage: Eukaryota; Metazoa; Chordata; Mammalia; Primates; Hominidae. The record is from RNAcentral.